AGGAUGAACGCUGGCGGCGUGCUUAAUACAUGCAAGUCGAGCGGUAAGGCUUUCACAGUUUGCUUAAACGUUUUAAUCCCAAAUCUAGGCUAGAGGAGGGCAGUUUGAGCAAUGUGUGAAAGUACACGAGCGGCGGACGGGUGAGUAACGCGUAAGAAUGUACCCAAAGUGAGGGAUAAGUUCCGGGAAACCGGGACUAAUACCGCAUGUGCUCGUUCGGAGUAAAGUCUUUAUGCGCUUUGGGAACAGCUUGCGUCUGAUUAG
This 264-nucleotide ribosomal RNA is filed under the name uncultured soil bacterium. RNAcentral's name for it is "partial 16S ribosomal RNA". It matches the Rfam family "Bacterial small subunit ribosomal RNA", at positions 26 to 244 of the family's 1533-position model. The record is from RNAcentral.